Molecule: unclassified non-coding RNA, 878 nt
Filed under: Hevea brasiliensis (rubber tree)
Lineage: Eukaryota; Viridiplantae; Streptophyta; Magnoliopsida; Malpighiales; Euphorbiaceae
Source: RNAcentral
CUUUGAAAUUGUACCUUUGUCAGAGCUGCAAUGCCUAUGUUCGGUUUACAUGCAUCACUGCAUACAUCACAAAACAAUGUAAUGGUUAUCAAAACUACAACCUUCCAUUAAAAGGACAACUAGUUGAGGCAUGCUAUUGAGGAGAGAGUCCACAAAUUCACUUCAAAUCACCGAUUAAGUUUUGUGUUCAUGGCAGAUUAUUUCAGCUGGAGCCCAUUAAAUCUUUACAACUGCUUCAAUGUUUUCAUAUAAAAUAUUAUUCAUAGGCUACACGAAUGACUUGCUUUCCCACAUUUUUACCAGAAAAAAGCCCAGCCAAAGCAGCUGGAGCACUUUCCAGCCCCUCAUUCAUGUCUUCGAUGUAAACAAGCUUCCCUUGCCGGUAGUUAUUAAUAACGUGUUCCAAGAAUUUUGGAUAAAGAUGCAAGUAAUCACUUUGCAAGAAUCCCUGCAUCCUAAUCCGUUUAGUUAGAAGAUUGAACAAGUUGCGAAUCCCUUGGGGAUCAGAGAGACUGUGCAAAGACACCAUUCCACAGACUGCAAUUCGGCCACUAAUCCUCAUGUUGAGCAAUGCAGCAUCAAGCAUGUCUCCACCCACAUUAUCAAAGUAAAUGUCAAUGCCUUCUGGAAAAUACCUUUUCAAAGUGGCAUCCAGGUUGGGCUCUUCUUUGUAGUUGAAAGCCUCAUGAAAUCCAAGCUUAUUCUUUAAAAGAUCAACCUUUUGGCUUGUCCCAGCACUUCCAACUACAUAACAACCAUGUNAACCAUGUAACUUGGCAAGCUGACCAACAAGCUGGCCAACAGCUCCUGAAGCUGCAGACACAAACACAUAAUCUCCUUUCUUAGGGGAACAGACCUCAUAGAAUCCUGCAUAAGCU